Molecule: transfer RNA, 68 nt
Filed under: Rhodoprasina callantha
Lineage: Eukaryota; Metazoa; Arthropoda; Insecta; Lepidoptera; Sphingidae
Description: tRNA-Asp
Source: RNAcentral
AAAGAAUUAGUUAAAUACUAUAACAUAAAUAUGUCAAAUUUAAAUUAUUAUACAAAUAAUAUUCUUUU